RNA transcript from Papaver somniferum (opium poppy), 1511 nucleotides. RefSeq lists it as uncharacterized. The transcript has 5 exons. The record is from RefSeq and is a predicted model, not a curated record. NCBI's taxonomy places the organism in Eukaryota, Viridiplantae, Streptophyta, Magnoliopsida, Ranunculales, Papaveraceae.
UUUGUUUCACUUUCGUUAAAUUUAGGGAAAAACUUAUACAAUCUGGGUUUUAUAAUCAUGCUCCAAUCAGGGACAACCAUCAAAUUCGUUUGAAGGACAACCACCAAAAUUCCUUACGGAUGGUGUUUUUUCUUUUCUUUUCUCUUUUAUUUUUCUGCAGUGCUGCCUUUCUUUUUCAAAGGUUUCAAUUUUUAAUUCUGAUUUUCUUAAUCGAAAGUUCAAUCACCGCGAGGGUGAUCACGAAUUAUACUAUGGAGAAGACGAGGUUGUAGUAGAUGAGGAUUUUGAUAUUGCUGCAUCUUAUGAUGAUGCUGAUGUUGCAACCGUGUGGAUGUCUGUGUCUGGAAAGUACUUCCCAAUAACUGAAGAAGAAUGUUAUAAACAAAAGAAGAAAAUUCCUCAUAUACAAGUUCUGCACACUAUUGUAAAGGUGAUGAAGAAGAGAAUGAAGUAGAAGCAGGUGUCACUGAUUCAACUGAAGUCGUAUAAACAACUAUAAAUUCAGAUGGGAAUGAAACUGAUCACAAGAUGGCUCAAAAUCUUAAAGGUGUUGGGUAUGCUUCAGUAGUUUUGUUGGAUCUGUUCGUAAAACUUCUAAAGGUAAUAUAAUAAUCCAUGUGGUCUUCUGGGGAAAUAGACCCUCAAUUUAAUUAUUAUUAGUCCAUUUCUUCUUUAAAUUAGCUUACAUGUUGAAUAAUAUAACAUCAUAAACUCCCUGUGAUCUUUUAAAUCCAAAUAUACAUCCAUAUACUCAUUUUCUCCACUCUAGCUUUAUACAGAGAGGUCACAUGAACUGCUGAUAAAUUAAUUAAUUACUUAUUUUCAGGGAUGAGUCUUGCAUGGAUAUAACUCAGUCACAUGAUCUCUGAUUCUCGGAUCAUGUAGUUAUAAUUAGUGUUAAAACGAACACCCAGGAUUCCUAAUAAUAGUUUUUUAUUAUUUUAAAGUUUCUAGCCACGUAUUUAACAAAUUAUUCUCUUCAUUCUGAAUUUACGCGAAGCAGAGACAAUCACAAUCAUGGGCAUGUGACAAAAAUGUUGGGUAUAUCUGCACCAAGUACUCCACAAACACAGAAAUCCAUGCGCCGUGAAAGCGCUAAAGGAAAAUUCUCGCAGCCAGUCAUUUAUUAUAGUGUGCUUCGUGGAUUGGUUAAAUUGAUCGAGAAAUCUAUAGUAACAGCUGAGGAAGUGGGUACUAACUACCAAGGUGUUCAGUCUGGGUCUUUCAAACCAGGUGUUCUCCAUUAUGAAUCAGAAAGUUGAGAUUUUGAUAAAUGGGUUUUUUUUAAAAUACUAUUACACGGUGUAUAUAAUUUGACUUCUGGCGGAUGGAUGAAGGAUCAAAUCAUGUAAGUAUUUUGGGUUAAGCAAUGAAUAUUUAUUUUGCUAUCUUAGAAAAGCAGGUUCCCUAAAUCUUAAUGUGGUAAAUUGUAUGUGUAUAUGCUUUUUUCAUGUUUUGUAGUAGGUAUAUGGGUUAUUGUUCGCCUUUGAUAUAGGUUGUUCGUUAUUUUU